UCCACCUUUGACAUUUUGCCAUGAUCUUUCCUAUUUGAAGGGAGUGCUGGAAGUGGGGAAUCCCUCAAAGUGAUCUGUCAUCAGAAUUCUCAUUUAAAUGUAUUUUACUGUGUUCAGAAUGCUGAUUCCCACUGGACUCAACUCACUUGGGAUACUGAGCUAAAUGGAUCUUUGAUCUGAAUUGUCACAGCCAUCCUUGGAUGAGGAGAAGUAGACUGACAAAUGAGUGACUGCUGCCUUGGUUUCCUGCUCAGCAAUUUGUAUUUGGAGAACUGUGAUCCUGGACUUCUGCUGACCUCAAUGUCAUGAACACAUCCCAGUGAUCUCUCAGCUUCUUGUGAAAGUUGUAUCUUCCUGUAGCUUUUUGGGUCCCUAUGAUUGCACCAGAAUGCAGACAGGACAUUGAUGACUUUCUCUGUGUCACUGAGGGUAUCUACCUCGGUUUUAUUGCACGUUUGCAGAAUAAAAUUUCUCCUGCACUUCCUCAGCUGUCUCUGUCACACCACAUCUGAAUGCAGGAUUUUGCAAAACAAACCCGAAGUAACAGCACGUGGAGGAUGCUCUGGAGGGUACCACACUGUUUUACAGUCCCAGUUAGACCUGGUGAUGAUAUGAAGCUGUUUAUUGCCACAGUCU
Oenanthe melanoleuca is the source of this 636-nucleotide long non-coding RNA. RefSeq lists it as uncharacterized. NCBI's taxonomy places the organism in Eukaryota, Metazoa, Chordata, Aves, Passeriformes, Muscicapidae. The record is from RefSeq and is a predicted model, not a curated record. The transcript has 4 exons.